RNAcentral lists this ribosomal RNA (578 nucleotides) under Triticum aestivum (bread wheat). RNAcentral's name for it is "partial small subunit ribosomal RNA". The record is from RNAcentral. Lineage: Eukaryota; Viridiplantae; Streptophyta; Magnoliopsida; Poales; Poaceae.
GUUGGCGGGCAAAGCUCCUCUCCAAAGGAGACAGGCUCAUAUUACUAUCUGCAGUCCUAGAUUCAAUCUUGGUCUAUUUUAUGUCUGUCUUCCUCAUUCCCAAAAGCGUUCUUAAAACCCUCGAUUCCAUUAGACGUGCUUUCUUCUGGGCUGCAGAAGAAACUUGUACUGGUGCUCAAUGUCUAGUUGCCUGGAAAAAUGUCUGUAAACCAAAAAUGUGUGGUGGUCUAGGCCUAAAAAACCUGCAUAAACAGAACAAAUGCUUGCUCAUGAAAUUCGCUGUCAAAGCUCUUAAUCCAGAACAAUCUCCAUGGCUUGACUGGAUCACUUUGCAACACCCAAAUGCCCUCCUCACCCCACAAAACAGUCACUCAUUUAUCUGCCAAACAAUAAACCAGCAACUACCAGCCCUCCAUGCCAUCUCCUUUGUACUCACAAACUCUGGCACCAACACAUAUUUCUGGUUAGACAAAUGGAUCCACCAAACACCCCUCGCCACUUUAUUCCCAUGCCUAUACUCUCAUACCACUACACCCCUCGCUCGUGUGGCUACUGUUUUUAACUAUGGUUUAGAUUCA